This 648-nucleotide ribosomal RNA is filed under the name Limosilactobacillus fermentum. Its description in RNAcentral is "bacterial SSU rRNA". It matches the Rfam family "Bacterial small subunit ribosomal RNA", at positions 371 to 1010 of the family's 1533-position model. Lineage: Bacteria; Bacillati; Bacillota; Bacilli; Lactobacillales; Lactobacillaceae. The record is from RNAcentral.
AUGGGCGCAAGCCUGAUGGAGCAACACCGCGUGAGUGAAGAAGGGUUUCGGCUCGUAAAGCUCUGUUGUUAAAGAAGAACACGUAUGAGAGUAACUGUUCAUACGUUGACGGUAUUUAACCAGAAAGUCACGGCUAACUACGUGCCAGCAGCCGCGGUAAUACGUAGGUGGCAAGCGUUAUCCGGAUUUAUUGGGCGUAAAGAGAGUGCAGGCGGUUUUCUAAGUCUGAUGUGAAAGCCUUCGGCUUAACCGGAGAAGUGCAUCGGAAACUGGAUAACUUGAGUGCAGAAGAGGGUAGUGGAACUCCAUGUGUAGCGGUGGAAUGCGUAGAUAUAUGGAAGAACACCAGUGGCGAAGGCGGCUACCUGGUCUGCAACUGACGCUGAGACUCGAAAGCAUGGGUAGCGAACAGGAUUAGAUACCCUGGUAGUCCAUGCCGUAAACGAUGAGUGCUAGGUGUUGGAGGGUUUCCGCCCUUCAGUGCCGGAGCUAACGCAUUAAGCACUCCGCCUGGGGAGUACGACCGCAAGGUUGAAACUCAAAGGAAUUGACGGGGGCCCGCACAAGCGGUGGAGCAUGUGGUUUAAUUCGAAGCUACGCGAAGAACCUUACCAGGUCUUGACAUCUUGCGCCAACCCUAGAGAUAGG